This 452-nucleotide ribosomal RNA is filed under the name uncultured marine eukaryote. RNAcentral's name for it is "SSU rRNA". It matches the Rfam family "Eukaryotic small subunit ribosomal RNA", at positions 613 to 1066 of the family's 1831-position model. The record is from RNAcentral.
UUGCGGUUAAAAAGCUCGUAGUUGGAUCUCGGCGGGUAGAAGGCGGUACACUGCUAAGUGUUACUGCCUUAUUACCCGUAGUUUUUGCUAGAGGUUUCAGGGUGCUCUUAAUCGAGUGUCCUGGGAUGCUAGCAGGUUUACUUUGAAAAAAUUAGAGUGCUCAAAGCAGGCUACUACGCUUGAAUAUUCGUGCAUGGAAUAAUAGAAUAGGAAGUCGUUUCUAUUUUGUUGGUUUUCGGAAAUCGACUUAAUGAUUAAUAGGGACAGUCGGGGGCAUUUGUAUUCAAACGACAGAGGUGAAAUUCUUGGACCGUUUGAAGACAAACUACUGCGAAAGCAUUUGCCAAGAAUGUUUUCAUUAAUCAAGAACGAAAGUUAGAGGUUCGAAGGCGAUUAGAUACCGCCCUAGUUCUAACCAUAAACGAUGCCAGCUAGCGAUCUGCGGACGUUUU